AAUAUUGGACAGUGGGGGCAACCCUGAUCUAGCCAUGCCGCGUGUGUGAAGAAGGUCUUCGGAUUGUAAAGCACUCUAAGUUGGGAGGAAGUGCUUUAGGUUAAUACACUGACGUUUUGCCGUUACCAACAGAAUAAGCACCGGCUCACUCUGUGCCAGCAGCCGCUGUAAUACAGAGGGUGCAAGCGUUAAUCGGAAUUACCGGGCGUAAAGCGCCGGUAGGUGGUUCGUUGAGUUGGAAGUGAAAGCCCCGGGCUUAACCUGGGAAUUGCUUUCAAAACUGACGAGCUGGCGUACGGUAGAGGGUAGUGGAAUUUCCUGUGUAGCGGUGAAAGGCGUAGAUAUAGGAAGGAACAUCAGUGGCGAAGGCGACUACCUGGACUGAUACUGACACUGAGGUGCGAAAGCGUGGGGAGCAAACAGG
RNAcentral lists this ribosomal RNA (424 nucleotides) under uncultured bacterium. RNAcentral's name for it is "partial 16S ribosomal RNA". It matches the Rfam family "Bacterial small subunit ribosomal RNA", at positions 360 to 776 of the family's 1533-position model. The record is from RNAcentral.